CGCGGCGUGGAGAAGUGGUUAACUCGCAAGGGUCAUAGCCUUGAGAACGCAGGUCCGAACCCUGCCGCCGCAA
Molecule: transfer RNA, 73 nt
Filed under: Caudoviricetes sp.
Lineage: Duplodnaviria; Heunggongvirae; Uroviricota; Caudoviricetes
Description: tRNA-Met
Rfam family: tRNA
About the family: Transfer RNA (tRNA) molecules are approximately 80 nucleotides in length. Their secondary structure includes four short double-helical elements and three loops (D, anti-codon, and T loops).
Source: RNAcentral